GUCACACACACACUGUCACACAUACACUGUCACACAGACACACAUGCACACCCCCCACCCCCACCUCACAUGCACCCCUGUCCCCAGCACACACACAGUGGCCACACCAGCAUUCCCUGCAGUAUUCCAGCUCCCCCUUCCUGCACACCCCAAGCCCACCAAACCCCCUGUUCAGCCCUGGCCAGGGCUGUCAGUGACCAAGGCACAUACAGGCUCGUGCCAGGGUCACGCAUCCCACGUGGGCUGUGACACAGUCUGGUGUUACCAACACAGACAUCUGCAAGGGCUCCUUGUACCAGCACAGGUAAACAGCAAACCAUGAGCCCACCCAGGGCACCGAGCCCCCCAGAGCCCUGUGCCCACCCAGAUCUCUGUGCUCACCAGGAGCCCUGAGCCCACUCAUAGCCCUGAUCCCCCCGUGUCCCUGUGCCCACCUGGAGCCCUGUGCCCAGCUCUCCAGGCAAUGUCCUUGUGGUGCAGCUGCUCCUUUGCAAACUCACAGCAAAACAAACAAUUUUCCUGAUACUUUCCAACCUUUUGAUGGGAUUUUCAUUAAGGGAAGGAGUAGGGGAAAAAACCCUAUUGAAGGGAAGGAUUUUUCUUCAAGUGUUUGCAAUGGAUUUCCUUCCCCUGCUAGAUACAGCUCUGAUCCCACUUGUCCUGCUGAAACCCCUCAUGUAGGUGGCAACAGAAUCCAUGGAUGAAUGUCCUGGCUGGCAGCCAACAAGAUGCUGCUCUUGGAGGCUCCCCCAGGCCAGAGGGCUGCCAGCCCAGUGCUCGUGUGAGCUACGGAUAUGUGCAAAUGAAACGGUAAAAAAAUCCUGCUUGUGCAUCCCUGUCUUCUGGAACAUUCCCAGGCCCUCAGCGAGCAGAUGAGUGGUGAUGCCCGAUCCCUGUCAUCAGCUCAGGAUGGCUCUGAGCAGUUGGAACAGCUUCUUGGGAGAGCUUUGUGCUUAGCACAGGCUCAUGUCAGUGAAGGUUCUGUUGGUUAAUGAGUGCGGAGGUGUCCUGCUGCUGGGAGACCGGGAAGAACCUGACAGGGAUUUGCCCAUCCUGCUUGGCUGGUGGAAGCACCGUGCGAAUGAAAAGUGGUGGUGGGGAAUGGGAGGAUGAUACUGCCCCUGUGUCACCUGCCCCAGGCGUGUCACCUUCCCUCAUGUCACCUGCCCCAGGUGUGUCACCUGCCCUCAUGUCACCUGCCCCACAUGUGUCACCUGCCCUCAUGUGUCACCUGCCCUCAUGUGUCACCUGCCCCAUGUGUGUCACCUGCCCCAUGUGUUUCACCUGCCCCAGGUGUGUCACCUGCCCCAGGUGUGUCACCUGCCCCAGGUGUGUCACCAUGUGUGUGCAGCUGCUCUGGCCGGCGGGUGCUGAGCAGGGCAGCAGGUCAUGGGCAGCACCCCCAGCCCAGGGCAGGGGGGCAGGUGGGGGCACUGGGGUCAUGUUCUUUCUCUCUUCAGCACCACAAUUUCAACUUUUUCAUUCAGAAGUUGGGUUCUUAUAGUUACCAGGAGAUGUGGGAGCCAGGACCUGCAGCACCUGUGUGUGUAUUUGCUGGGGGAAUGAACACUGUUUCCACCUGGAUUUUCUUGGGCUGCUGCAGGAACUGGAGAAGAAAAGACCUAAGAAAUACCAAAGUCCAGCUCCUGCCAUGAAUCUUUGUGCUUUGUGUUUUCUUCUGCAUUUUCUUGUCCACUUUUGCUUUAAUAAAGCAAAGAGAAUUUCACUGUGUUCACAGUCCCACAGAAGCUGUCCCUGAGGCUCCUCUCAGGGUGGCCAAGCCCUGGAGCAGGGACCCCUUUGGUGUCGCAGCAGGGAGCCAACCACAUCCACGUUCCCCUGCAGACUCUCUGGCUCUGCUCUGGCUCAUCUCAGAGGUGUGGGGGCUUUUGGGCCGGCUCAGUCUGAGUCAGAGCUCAGACCAUCAGCUCCUGCCCAAGGCAGCAGAUGGAGGACAAGGGACACACACUUGGCAUUUCCCUGAGAGCAGUGUUGUACAUGGCUGGGCCCAAUUCCAUGACAGAGGGUGCAGAAUAAGGGAUGCUGCCUUUAGUGAAGGCGGGAGAGACUCUUCCUCAGUCCUGUGUCAUGCCAGAAGGUGGGAUCAGGCGGUGCAAUGGCAUGUGGCAUUCCCAAGGCAAACCUGUACCCUCCUGAGCCUGUCAGGUUCCUGCCAGCACCCCCUGCCUCAGCAGGAGCGAGAGCUGGGGCAGUGACUCUCCACUCAGAGAGGCCAUGGAUGAGUGGAGAACGGGCAGCAUCCAUGUGCUGUUGCCAUAAUGUUCAAGAGGCUCUUUGUGCUCAGCUCAGGGAACAGGGCCCUCAGUCACGGCCAUCGGGCUCAGCCAGGGAGGCAAAUCCCGCAGGACACUCCCUGCUCCGAGCCCUGCGGGGCCGGGGGGCCGUCACCGUGCUCUGUAGGGAUGCUGAGGGGUACCCCAGGGAUCACCAGCCCCCCGGGCAGUCCGAGAGCUGCUGCCCUCACAGUCCUCGUGGGGUCCCUCCCCUUGCUGAGCUCCCACCUUGGAUGUUUUAAUAAUAUAUGUUAAAGAUAUCUGUAUCUAUGUAAAAUAAAGGUGUGGCCCAUUUUCUGUCACUAAAGAUAUUUAUUGUGUGAUGCUCUGAGAGGGCACACUGAGGCACUGAAUGCUCUUCAAGAAAUGAGUCAGAAUGUACCAAUUUAGUAGAAACUUCUAAUUUAAUUAUUCUUCUGGCUGAGUGCUGCCCAGUUUGCAAAGGUCCUCCCUUUCAUGGCAUGCACAGAGCACAUACUGGAAUAGGCUGCUGUUGGUACUGGCUCCUCCAGGUUUCCUGUGGCUGCUUGUAGUUAGGCAGGGAUGGUGUUUGCUCUUGGGGAACGAUGGAAUGUCCUUUGUUUCUGUCCUCUUUGACUGCACAAAGUGUCCUCGCAUGUUCAGGCAGAAUCCUGGGAUUACAGAGAGGUGUCUGUGCUCUACCUGUCUCCAGACCUGGGGCAGGCAGGGUGCUCCAGCCCCUCCGGGUGGGUUGAAGCCUCCCCGUGCCCAGCGGUGCCUGCUCGCCUCCAGCUCAUUCCCUGGGGCAGCAGAGGGACCCUGUGCUUGUGACUCACAGAGAAAAUCUCUGCACCCACAUAAACCCUCAGCAAGUGGAUGAAAGCCGCUCUCUGUGCUGGAUGUUUGGUGUUCUGUGGCAAUUUUAUGCUGUUUCUCUUUGUUAACAUGUCUCUGUAAUAAUAAGAGUUCUCAAUUUGAUAUAUUUUAUUUUCUUUGUAUUAAGCCAAAAAGCUCCUUGCUGGUGCCUUUUUGCCUGGGGGGCCCUCCCAGCCCACAACUGUGUUCCUGAGAGGAACAAAGGGCAGUGUCUCCAACUGUUCCUUCCACCAGAGCUGAGGGAAAGUGGGAAGCCAAUGCCUCAGAACUGGCAGAAUGAAAAGAACCAGAGGCCUUGGAAUGGCAGAGACUUUGGGGUAGGUUGCCGGUUCUUUCCCGGGGCGUGGCUCCAAGGCGAGGGCUGAGCACGACACUGGGACACCUUGGCCCUGUCUCAGUGGGACUGGGGCUCUCGAGGCCCCGUGGUGUGGGCACAGCACACGCAGCUUGGGCCAGCCCCACUUGGAAUCAGAGGGCUUUGCCCAGAUUAUUGCACCUGAGGGCAAAUCCUCCAGAAAAGGACAAAAGGAUGUUCUUAGAUUGCUGCUACAGCUCUUUGAUUUUUUAAUUGGAACGGAAUGCAUUGGAUAAGGAAAAUAGACCCUACAGUGUUCCGGUGCCACGAGGGCCAGAGCACAGUGACAGACGCUGCCGGGGCCGGCGGGAUGCAGUGCAGGAUGCCCAGGGGACAACUGAGUCUCAAGUCCCUGUACAGGACUGAAGGCCAUUUACUUGUGUAACCAAAGAGAGGAGCCUGUCUGGCACUCAGGUAAAGACAAACCAAUGACACCGGGCUUGGGGUAAAUGAAAAUUCUCCUUUUUGGCUCUGUCAGCCAUGCCUGGGUCUCAUGUGAGCCCUCGGCUCUGCCACAGGGCGGCCCCUCACGCUUGGUGUUCAGCUCUUUUUGUAAUCUGAAAAUUUGCUGUUGUUCUGAGUCCAAUAAAUGCAGAAUCUGGUUUGCUGGAGCUCUGCCCUCUGCCUGCCUUUGGCUUUUGUGUUGUUUUUGUGCGUGAAAUCACUGUGGGUGUGACAGCUGUCAGCGAGUGAAGGCGCCGGGAAUCAGUGGGUCAUUUGUCAGUGGAUAAGGCUGUACAUUGGGUCGUUGUAGGCUUUUUUCACAGUCAGAUUUCGCUAUUAAUCACAUGUCUGAACUGGUAAUUCAGUUACAGAAUUGACUAAUCCUUUCAUAUAUUCCUCUUUGGGUCUUUUAAAUUGAAUUUCAUUUGAUUAAUGUACUUCUCAAAACAAGAAGCUAAUAAAGGCCAGUGUCCUCCUC
Lepidothrix coronata (blue-crowned manakin) is the source of this 4408-nucleotide long non-coding RNA. RefSeq lists it as uncharacterized. NCBI's taxonomy places the organism in Eukaryota, Metazoa, Chordata, Aves, Passeriformes, Pipridae. The transcript is spliced from 2 exons. The record is from RefSeq and is a predicted model, not a curated record.